UACAGAGGGUGCAAGCGUUAAUCGGAUUUACUGGGCGUAAAGCGCGCGUAGGCGGCUAAUUAAGUCAAAAUGUGAAAUCCCCCGAGCUUAACUUGGGAAUUGCAUUCGAUACUGGUUAGCUAGAGUGUGGGAGAGGAUGGUAGAAUUCCAGGUGUAGCGGUGAAAUGCGUAGAGAUCUGGAGGAAUACCGAUGGCGAAGGCAGCCAUCUGGCCUAACACUGACGCUGAGGUGCGAAAGCGUGGGGAGCGAACAGG
This 255-nucleotide ribosomal RNA is filed under the name uncultured bacterium. RNAcentral's name for it is "partial 16S ribosomal RNA". It matches the Rfam family "Bacterial small subunit ribosomal RNA", at positions 524 to 776 of the family's 1533-position model. The record is from RNAcentral.